GACGAACGCUGGCGGCGUGCUUAACACAUGCAAGUCGAACGAAGAGCGACGGAAGCUUGCUUCUAUCAAUCUUAGUGGCGAACGGGUGAGUAACGCGUAAUCAACCUGCCCUUCAGAGGUGGACAACAGUUGGAAACGACUGCUAAUACCGCAUACGAUCUAACCUCGGCAUCGAGGAUAGAUGAAAGGUGGCCUCUACACGUAAGCUAUCACUGAAGGUGGAGAUUGCGGCUGAUUAGCUAGUUGGGGGGGGAACGGCCGACCAAGGCGAUGAACAGGAGCCGGUCUGAGAGGAUGAACCGCCAAAUUGGGACUGAGAAACGGCCCAGAAUCCUACGGGAAGCAGCCGUGGGGAAUCUUCCGCAAUGGACGGAAGUCUGGCGGGGCAACGCCGGGGGGGGGAUGACGGGCUUCGGGUUGUAAAGCUCUGUUAAUCGGGACGAAAGGCCUUCUUGCGAAUAGGGAGAAGGAUUGACGGUACCGGAAUAGAAAGCCACGGCUAACUACGUG
This 510-nucleotide ribosomal RNA is filed under the name uncultured bacterium. RNAcentral describes it as "partial 16S ribosomal RNA". It matches the Rfam family "Bacterial small subunit ribosomal RNA", at positions 28 to 507 of the family's 1533-position model. The record is from RNAcentral.